Long non-coding RNA from Magnolia sinica, 961 nucleotides. RefSeq lists it as uncharacterized. Lineage: Eukaryota; Viridiplantae; Streptophyta; Magnoliopsida; Magnoliales; Magnoliaceae. The record is from RefSeq and is a predicted model, not a curated record. The transcript is spliced from 6 exons.
UAUUUUGCUUUAGGUCACUCAGGUUGGCAGCUGGUAUACAGGAAGUCAAAGUUGAAAUGGUUUGCCUGGACUUUUUACAUGGAAAAUGCAAACGGAAAUCUUGUCGAUACUCUCAUGUUUUAGCUCAUGGAAUGCCUCAGCUCUGCUGUGAGUGAUUACAUAUCAGCUGUGAAGAAAUUAGCUUGUGGAGUUCUUGAAUCUUUAACUGAAGGGCUGAAGGUUGAACCAAGUUUAACUGGUUUUGGAGAACACACUGACCCUCAGAUAAUAUCAGUUCUGAGAUCAAACAAUACAUCAGGCCUUCAAAUCUCUUUCAGUGAUGGGAGCUGGGUUUCAGUCCCACCUGACCACAACUCCUUUGUCAUUGUUGGUGAUUCCUUGCAAAAUGGGCUUAAUAUGGUAGACCCAAUUGAGAAUGGGAGAGCAGCAGUAUUGCAAAAGUUGUGGUGAAAUACAGUUGCAUCUCUGGAAGGAGGCUAGGUUGCUUGGAGUUGUUUGAAUCAUGGGAUGAGGCAUCAACCUUCACGUUGCUAACCAUGUAAUCAUUGUUGAUGGUUCGUGGAACCCUACUUAUGAUCUUCAGGCUCAGGUUUGGAGGUAUGGGCAAACAAAGCCAGUUUAUGCAUAUUGUUUGAUGGCACAUGGAAAUAUGGAAGAAAAAAUAUAUAAACGGCAGGUGACAAAAGAGGGACUUGCUGCAAAGCGUGGUUGAUAGGCAACAAAUACAUCGGACCAUUUUUAAGUAAGGAGGUCCUGCAUCUCUUGGAUUUGUAUUUUAAUUGAUGGGACAUAAUUAUGAUGAUCAUUUGUUAAGUUUUCAGGGAAAAUGAUAUUCUUUAUAUUACCUUAUUUCAUCAGUAGCUGACCUAAUUUUGGCUAUUUACUAUAUAUUUAGAUCAGUUUCUAUUUCAGGCCUUUUGAGCAUCCAAACACAUUGAUAUUUAGUCCAGUUUCAUAUUCA